Papaver somniferum (opium poppy) is the source of this 1677-nucleotide long non-coding RNA. RefSeq lists it as uncharacterized. The transcript is spliced from 3 exons. NCBI's taxonomy places the organism in Eukaryota, Viridiplantae, Streptophyta, Magnoliopsida, Ranunculales, Papaveraceae. The record is from RefSeq and is a predicted model, not a curated record.
AUUGAAUUUUAUCCGUUAUAUCGGAUACCGGAUAUCCAAAUCCGAUAACUUGUCGGAUAUUUCCUUCUUAACCUAUCGGAAACGGAUUGGGCUAUAUCCGAUUGAUUAUAUCCGAUAUCCGAUAGGGUUGGGGUGUACUAGUAAUUUUUAAAUACCAAGUCUACUAGACUAGUCGAGGAGUCGAGAGAAGAGAAGACAUUUCCCUUUUCUUUUCUUCUUCUAUUCUCACUAUGUUAUCAGUCUCAGUCUCGCUCCCCCCUCUCGAUUAAUCACUCGGUUCUCACUUCUCCAAUAAUUGAUCACUCAAUCAGGCUCCCAAGAAAGGUGUUAAAACUCCAGUAGCAGCAAAUAAGAAGAAUCUGGCUAAACAACACACAAAACUUCAUUAAGUCCAGAAAGAUAGCAAGGGAUGUGUUGGCUGUUCCGGUGACCAGUGUAGCAUCAGAGUCCAUGUUCAGCGAUGGUGGAAGGGUUCUAACAACACACAAAACUUCAUUAUGUCCAGAAUUAGUCCAAGCAUUGCUAUGCUUAAGUGAUUGGCUGCCAGACUUUUUUGAUGCAGGUAAAUCUUCUUUUCCUUUGCUUAGUUCUUUGUUAAAAAUUGAGACUAGAUAUCGAUUUUUUGAGUGACAGCCUAUGCAUUUUGUUUGCUUACGCUCUUCAUAGUAGUGGUAUAUCAGGUGAAUUUAAGCAUUGGCAAAGAGGAAGCCUUAAUGGCACUUCAGGAUGUAUUUUGGUAUAUGCAAGUAUUUUGUAGUUACUGCAAAAAAGCUAUAGUGGAAGUGCUCUUGAAUCUUGUAAUGUGAAUGACCUAAUACAAACAGCUUCAUAUAACAUAAAGACUUUCUCAGACUAGUUGAGAUGAUUUAGAUUGGGUAAGGACAAUGUCUUAUGUCAAGUCCAAGUUAUCAUGAAAAUUUGUAUAAUAUAGGCCAAUUUUCAGACUAGUACAAGGAUAGAAUAUACAAAAGGGGAGACAGUGAUUCAAGAUUUAUUAGCAUUCUUGCAUUUUUAAACAUUGAUGUAAGAAUGAGAUUCCCUCAAAUAUCCCCUUGACUAAGGUCUGGCAAUAUUCAGUUCAAAAUAUUCAGCUCAAAUUUGCUAAUGUUGAGAUCCUAUUACCAGUUUUAAAUGAAUGCUUGACUAGGCCGAUCCUGUAGUUUCGACUACUAACCAUCGUGGUGUUCUGAUUGUGGUUGUUAAGUGUUAGUUCUCUACCUUCAUUGUCGCUCUCCUAUAUCUCUCUCCACCUUGUUACCUCUGUGAAUUUUUAGAUUGCAUAUCUUUUGCUUGGUUAGCAUGUGGGUGUGUGUGUUGCACUGUUGCUUAUAGUGGUGAAAGCUUUGAGAAACUGAAAUGUUAGAUGUCAGAAUUUUCUUAUCAAGUGAUUCUUUGUGAUUUGUGAAUGCGGAUAUGGAAAUCAUGAACUGAAGUGAAGUUGAUGCAAUGAUACAACAUGCCAGGAAGCCAAGCAAGAUCACACUAAGUUACACUACUCACUAGCGUGUUGACAUUGUUUUUUUUUUUUUUUUGGCUUUGUUGUAGCAUGCUGUGUACUUUCUUUUGCAUUCACUAGACUGAGAGUAAACUCUUUAACUCUAACCAUUGUGCUUGUGUGGGUUUGUACUUUUCACUGAACAUUUUGAACUUAAAAAGACAAAAGACUGUUUUUUUCAA